Gallus gallus (chicken) is the source of this 343-nucleotide long non-coding RNA. NCBI's taxonomy places the organism in Eukaryota, Metazoa, Chordata, Aves, Galliformes, Phasianidae. The record is from Ensembl.
CAGUAAAUGGUAAGUUUUGAACACAAGAGUAAAGUAGAUUGUUGUGACCAGUGAAAUAAGGUUAAAUAAUAGUAUAUAAUGCAUAUUCAAUUAAUUUUAAACUAUUAAUGAGAAUUUUUGCUAUAGGACAAGAGUGUUACUUCCUCAGCUUGAAAAGACAGAAGAAAAAGACUCCAGUGAGUUUUGGAAUUAACAAAUCAAGUGAACUAUCUGCCCUACUUGGUGCUAAAUGGAUUUUCAGAGCUGUCUGUCUUAAAUAUCCUUGCUCUCCAGAGGUGAAGGCACAAAACAGUGAGAAGAGGUAAGUUAAUGUAACUGUUCCAUACACAAGCAUGUUUCAGAG